UUUGACCUCGAAUCAGGUAGGGUUACCCGCUGAACUUAAGCAUAUCAAUAAGCGGAGGAAAAGAAACCAACAGGGAUUG
Molecule: ribosomal RNA, 79 nt
Filed under: Cephalotrichiella penicillata
Lineage: Eukaryota; Fungi; Ascomycota; Sordariomycetes; Microascales
Description: partial 28S ribsomal RNA
Rfam family: Eukaryotic large subunit ribosomal RNA
Source: RNAcentral